AGUAACACGUGGACAACCUACCCUUUAAUCCGGGAUAAUCCACCGAAAGGCGGUCUAAUACCGGAUAAGACCAAUUAGGGGCAUCUCUUUUUGGUUAAAGGCGGGGCAACCUGCCGUUUUAGGAUGGGUCCGCGCUCCAUUAGCUUGUUGGUGAGGUAACGGCUCACCAAGGCAAUGAUGGAUAGCCGGCUUGAGAGAGCGAUCGGCCACACUGGGACUGAGAUACGGCCCAGACUCCUACGGGAGGCAGCAGUAGGGAAUAUUGCGCAAUGGACGAAAGUCUGACGCAGCAACGCCGCGUGGGUGAUGAAGCAUCUUGGUGCGUAAAACCCUGUCAGUGGGGAAGAACCGUAUAGGGAGUAACUGUCCUAUGCCUGACGGUACCCACAAAGGAAGUCCCGGCUAACUCCGUGCCAGCAGCCGCGGUGAUACGGGGGGGACAAGCGUUGUUCGGAUUUACUGGGCGUAAAGGGCGCGUAGGCGGACCUUCAAGUCGGAUGUGAAA
RNAcentral lists this ribosomal RNA (505 nucleotides) under uncultured bacterium. Its description in RNAcentral is "bacterial SSU rRNA". It matches the Rfam family "Bacterial small subunit ribosomal RNA", at positions 109 to 599 of the family's 1533-position model. The record is from RNAcentral.